This is a non-coding RNA of Lutra lutra (Eurasian river otter), 676 nucleotides long. NCBI's taxonomy places the organism in Eukaryota, Metazoa, Chordata, Mammalia, Carnivora, Mustelidae. The record is from the annotation of a RefSeq genome assembly.
GGUCUCCAUCCUGCAGGCAACCAUGCAGCUGCUUUGGUCCCUCCUCUGCCUUCUGGCAGCUCCCCUGGGUGUCCUAUCUCAACUUACACUUCAGGAGUCAGGCCCAGGACUGGUGAUGCCCUCACAGACACUCUCUCUCACAUGUGUUGUCUCCGGGGGCUCUGUCACCAGCAGUUACUAUUGGAACUGGAUCCGCCAGCGCCCUGGGAGAGCACUGGAGUGGAUGGGCUACUGGACAGGUAGUACAAGCUAUAACCCGGCUUUCCAGGGCCGCAUCUCCAUCACUGCUGACACAUCCAAGAACCAGUUCUCCCUGCAGCUGAGUUCUGUGACUACCGAGGACACAGCCGUGUAUUACUGUGCUAGAGGCACACUGAGGAGACAUCAGUGUGAGCCCAGACACAAACCUCCCUGCAGGGACACAGGAGGGGCGGGGCUGCAGGUGGCCCCAGAAUCCACCAGGGGGUGUUCAGGACACCAAGGAGCUCUCAGAUCACCAGGGGAAACUCAGAUCACUUUCUGGAGCUCAAGAGACAAGGAGCGCUCAGGACAGAAGUGGUACUCAGGUCACCAUGGGGCGCUCAAGACCCACCAAUACAUUUUCUGCACCAGAAGCAGGUGCAGGUGGAGAUUAAAUGCGUAUUUCCUGGCACAGUUUGGGGUUUCCUUUCCAUAA